AUUUGAGGCCUCCCCUCUUUUCUAAUGCAUUCAGUACUACAGCGUAUACUCUCAGCACUGCUUUAGCUGCUUCCCAUAUACAUUUCUAUUUUCUAUUUUUAUUUUCAUUCAGUUCUAUAUAUAUAUCUUACAAAAUAUUCUUGACCCUUAUUCUUUCACCUAUGUAUUGUAUAAUACUUUGGUGUGUAGUUUAUAAGUAUUUGGAAAGUUUUCUUUUGUCUUUCUGUUAAUGAUUUCUAGUUUUAUUCCAUUAUAGAAAAAGAAUAUACUCCACAUGACUUCAGUUAUUUUAUAUCUUGAGGGAUUAUUUAGUGACCCUGGAUAUGAUCUAUUUGGUGAAUGGCUGCUAGGAAAAGCAGGACCCAUAGAAUCUAAAGUUGCUGGAGAAGGAAUCACAAAUUCCUCAAGUGGGUCACUGGGAGUGACAGGGAAUGUGCCAUUUCUACUUUUACUACUUUGUUCCUGGACCCAUGUGUUCUACCUUCUGAAGAAUAGAACCAUAAAAUAAACAUUGGCUUAAGGCUUUAGAGAAGAGCCCAGACUGUUGACAUAUAUAUUUCAGUCUUGACACUAACAAGAUAACUCCGUUGAUCCCACCUGGGCUUCUGACCUAUAGAGACGCAGAGAAUUAAAUGCUAGAGAACUGGAGCCGCAGAUUUUGC
RNAcentral lists this long non-coding RNA (662 nucleotides) under Homo sapiens (human). Its description in RNAcentral is "HSALNT0284444". The record is from RNAcentral. Lineage: Eukaryota; Metazoa; Chordata; Mammalia; Primates; Hominidae.